AGCCUGCAGUCUAAGUAUAAGUGAUUCUGAUGACGAAACUGCGAAUGGCUCGGUAAAACAGCUAUAAUUUCUUCGAUGCUUUCUUACUACUCCGAUAACCGUAGUAAUUCUAGAGCUAAUACGUGCCACAAACGCGGGGGCAACUCCGUGGUGCUAAUUAGAUAACAACACCAACAUAUGGUGAUUCAUAAUUUUCUUUCUGAUCGCAUGCUUUGAUUGCAGCGACGCAUCGUUCAAAUAUCUGACCUAUCAACUUUCGAUGGUAAGGUAGUGUCUUACCAUGGUGGUGACGGGUAACGGACCGUGGGUGCGGGACUCCGGAGAGGGAGCCUGAGAAACGGCUACCACAUCCAAGGAAGGCAGCAGGCGCGCAAAUUACCCAAUCCGGACUCCGGGAGGUAGUGACAAGAAAUAUCAAUAGGGGACCUGAUGGGUCUUCUAAUUGGAAUGAGAACAUGGUAAACAGCUUAACGAGAAUCCAGCAGAGGGCAAGUCUGGUGCCAGCAGCCGCGGUAAUUCCAGCUCUGUAAGCGUAUACCAAAGUUGUUGCAGUUAAAACGCUCGUAGUCGGAUUUUGGUGGUCUCGCAGAGACGCGCGUCAAGCGUGGACCUGUCGGGGCUGCUUUUGUGGACGACGUGCACAGGCGGCUUUGCUGUCGUCUGUGUAAAGGAAGGGGAGGGAAGCUCCUUCUUGGGGGGGUCGUGAAUCCCCUUUUUUUUUGCGUCACCACCAUUUACUGUGAAAAAAUUAGAGUGUUCAAAGCAGGCGUUUGCCAUGAAUACAUUAGCAUGGAAUAAUGGAAUAGGACUUGGAUCCUAUUUUGUUGGUUUGUGAGGGCCAAGUAAUGAUUAAGAGGGACAGUUGGGGGCAUUUGUAUUCCGGCGCUAGAGGAUUGCCGGAAGACAAACCGCUGCGAAAGCGUCUGCCAAGGAUGUUUUCAUUGAUCAAGAACGAAAGUAAGGGGAUCGAAGACGAUCAGAUACCGUCGUAGUCUUUACUAUAAACGAUGAGGACUGGGGAUCGGGCGUGGAAUUACGAUGACCCGCCCGGCACCCUUCGGGAAACCAAAGUGUUUGCUUUCUGGGGGGAGUAUGGUCGCAAGGCUGAAACUUAAAGGAAUUGACGGAAGGGCAUCACCGGGUGUGGAGCCUGCGGCUUAAUUUGACUCAACACGGGGAAACUUACCAGGUCAGGACAUAGUGAGGAUUGACAGAUUGAGAGCUCUUUCAUGAUUCUAUGGUUGGUGGUGCAUGGCCGUUCUUAGUUGGUGGAGUGAUUUGUCUGGUUAAUUCCGUUAACGAGCGAGACCUGGGCGUGCUAACUAGGGGCUACUACCAUUUUUUUGCGGUAGUGAGUUUUUUUUUCCAACCCCUUCUUAGACGGACUGCGGGCGUCUAGCCCGCGGAAGCUCCAGGCAAUAACAGGUCUGAGAUGCCCUUAGAUGUUCUGGGCCGCACGCGUGCUACACUGAGCGGGUCAGUGGGUGCGGAUGCGCGAAAGCGUUUCCUAAUCCACAAAUCCGCUCGUGAUGGGGAUAGACGGUUGCAAUUUUCCGUCUUGAACGAGGAAUACCUUGUAAGCGUGGGUCAUCAUCCCACGCUGAAUACGUCCCUGCCCUUUGUACACACCGCCCGUCGCUCCUACCGAUUGAGUGGUCCGGUGAGGUCAUGGGAUUGAUAUGAGGGGAGCGUUUACGCUCGUUUCGUGUCGAGAACUUGCCCGAACCUUAUCACUUAGAGGAAGGAGAAGUCGUAGCAAGGUUUCCGUACGUGA
This 1774-nucleotide ribosomal RNA is filed under the name Sporolithon ptychoides. RNAcentral describes it as "SSU rRNA". It matches the Rfam family "Eukaryotic small subunit ribosomal RNA". Lineage: Eukaryota; Rhodophyta; Florideophyceae; Sporolithales; Sporolithaceae. The record is from RNAcentral.